This 253-nucleotide ribosomal RNA is filed under the name uncultured bacterium. RNAcentral's name for it is "partial 16S ribosomal RNA". It matches the Rfam family "Bacterial small subunit ribosomal RNA", at positions 524 to 776 of the family's 1533-position model. The record is from RNAcentral.
UACAGAGGGUGCGAGCGUUGUUCGGAAUUAUUGGGCGUAAAGGGCGCGUAGGCGGCGCGGUAUGUCACCUGUGAAAUCUCCUGGCUCAACUGGGAGCUUGCAGGCGAAACUGCCGUGCUGGAGUGUGGGAGAGGUGCGUGGAAUUCCUGGUGUAGCGGUGAAAUGCGUAGAUAUCAGGAGGAACACCAGUGGCGAAGGCGGCUUCCUGGUCUGCGACUGACGCUGUGGCGCGAAAGCUAGGGGAGCAAACGGG